UACAGAGGUCUCAAGCGUUGUUCGGAUUCAUUGGGCGUAAAGGGUGUGUAGGUGGCGCCGUAAGUCGGGUGUGAAAUCUCGGGGCUUAACUCCGAAACUGCAUUCGAUACUGCGGUGCUUGAGGACUGGAGAGGAGACUGGAAUUCAUGGUGUAGCAGUGAAAUGCGUAGAGAUCAUGAGGAAGACCAGUGGCGAAGGCGGGUCUCUGGACAGUUCCUGACACUGAGACGCGACAGCGUGGGGAGCAAACAGG
This 253-nucleotide ribosomal RNA is filed under the name uncultured bacterium. RNAcentral's name for it is "partial 16S ribosomal RNA". It matches the Rfam family "Bacterial small subunit ribosomal RNA", at positions 524 to 776 of the family's 1533-position model. The record is from RNAcentral.